AUAGGAUAUAGAAGAUAGAUUUAUGCCUGAUAUUGCAUUGCACCAGCUUUUCCUGGUUGGACAAUCCAAGAUGUGACUGCUCAGCUACAGAUCAGUAAACAUAUGUUGACAGAAAGAUGAAACAACAACAAAAGGAAACAUGGAUCUCUGACAGUGGUAGCUGCACCUUGUAACAGGGCAUUUAAUUUAAUUAUCCGACAUAUAACACGAAAGAUGGCACAAAUGCCCCAUCAUGGUUUUUUAGUCCCGUGAUUUCUGUGCUACCCAGUUGGAGAAAAUCUGAUACAAUAUUGCAAGGGUUCAUCUUUAGUUCAAACUGUGCAUGCAUCAAUGAUAAUAGUAAAAACUGAAGGUAUGGUUAACCUUUUUGUCUGAAAAAUUGUGAGCCACUGCUAACAUGGAUAUAUCUUACAUAUAUAUCCCAAUUUCCCUUCUUCUUUCCCACUUCAGGCCCCUCACGCAGUAUAUUCUACAAAAGUCAUUGUGAUGCUAUUAUUAUUAUUAUUUUCAAUCACUCAAUCAUGUUGGUGGACAAAACAUAAAAGUAUAGCAUGUCGUUUUCAUUCCAAUAUUUUUAUGUACACUUUAAUAAUCCAUAUGCUUUGCAUCUGUAUGCCAGUAAGUU
Molecule: long non-coding RNA, 625 nt
Organism: Vigna umbellata (rice bean)
Lineage: Eukaryota; Viridiplantae; Streptophyta; Magnoliopsida; Fabales; Fabaceae
Source: RefSeq, a predicted model, not a curated record